GAGGUGAUGCCAAUGAAUCAUGAUCUAUCUGAAUGUCUGAUUCUGACACAAUUGAUUCAAAACAUUCAGAAUUUGGAGUAGAUGCUGACAUAUAAUUUAAGAAUAUAUUGCAUAAAAAAGUACAUAAAAUAAAUGAAACAAAUACCUUGUGGUAGAUAAUCAUAUUUUUGAACAAUUUUGAUCUCUUUAUUUGAAUCUGGUUCCUUAACAUCAUGUAAUGGUAAAACAGAAGAUAAUGUCG
Molecule: long non-coding RNA, 241 nt
Filed under: Hordeum vulgare
Lineage: Eukaryota; Viridiplantae; Streptophyta; Magnoliopsida; Poales; Poaceae
Description: long non-coding RNA (HVUL_LNC019795)
Source: RNAcentral